This is a long non-coding RNA of Alexandromys fortis (reed vole), 1135 nucleotides long. RefSeq lists it as uncharacterized. Lineage: Eukaryota; Metazoa; Chordata; Mammalia; Rodentia; Cricetidae. The record is from RefSeq and is a predicted model, not a curated record. The transcript is spliced from 3 exons.
CCUUCACCCUCAGAGGUCCAGUCUUUAGGCUGGAGUCUUGUCAGGCACCAAGGAGAGUCACAUUCUAAGAACUUGCUGCACAUUGGUCCCUAAGACUCAUAGGCAUCCGUUCAGUGCAGCUGUCGGUGCCGGAUGAGAAUUAGUUUGGUGGCAAAUGACAAAAAGCCCUCAUCAUGUCUUUAACUGUUGGGCUUUAUUUCUGUGGGGGUGACGUGGUGAUUUGUAGGACCUGUAUCCUUCUGUUUUCCUGCCACACUGUCCUUAGCGUGUCCCUUCUUAGGCUCAUUACCUCAUCAUCACAAGGUGGCUGCUGUGGCUCCAAACCUCGUUUUCACAACAGGAAGAGGAGAAAAGGUUAAAUCAGGUCUACUUGUUGACCACCUUUUAGAAGGAAGGAGACUCUCCCCCAGCAGAUUUGCUUGUUACUCUCACAUGAUUAAAACCAGCAAGAGUCCAGGAAAUCAGCAUCUGUGAAGCGAUGUUUAGAAGUCAAGCGUGGUGCCUUAUGCCUAAGUAAAACCUCCAUGCUUAAGCCUGCCCAGCUCCUCAGGCAAGCCACUGUCACAUCUGGGCCUUAUUUCGACAUGCAUCCUGGCUAACAGGCUCUGUCUGUUAACUCGAGACAAAAACUAAAAGGGUGCAACUCUGUGACAUUGUAAAGAUUGGCCACAUCUCAAAGAGCUUUUGGAGAGCAGAAACAGGAGGGUCAAAGUUGAGGCCAGCCUGUGUGACCUUGUAAAUUCUUGUCGCGACAAACAAAACUAAGCUCAAUUUUGCAAAUUUAUAACUAAUGACAUGCAUUACAACAUAUGUAAACUGUUGCUUAGGGCUUGGCACCGGGUGGCCCUGACAUCAUGGAAGGGAGGGGUUUCUUCAUCGGUUGUGAAGGCAUGUUCUUUUUUUAUUUUUCUAGUGUUUGACAAGUACAUGACAAUCUCAGGAUUUCAGAUUGAGGAAACCAUUUAUUCGAGAGACUUCAGGGAACUUGGAGCAGUUGCUCCUGGCUGUGGGUUCUCAAGUAUUUCUAGUGUUGGCUCUGAUCUCGUCUUUAUCCAGGAUGAAUAUACACUGUUCUCUCUGCAUGGCCCCUGGUGGAUACAAAUUGCUCCUGCAUCCUCUCUGCAUGGCCCCAGGU